This is a long non-coding RNA of Condylura cristata (star-nosed mole), 2079 nucleotides long. RefSeq lists it as uncharacterized. NCBI's taxonomy places the organism in Eukaryota, Metazoa, Chordata, Mammalia, Eulipotyphla, Talpidae. The record is from RefSeq and is a predicted model, not a curated record. The transcript has 3 exons.
GGAAACCUGAGGAAGCCACAUGGAGCAGCAAAUUUGGGGUGCCCUAUAACACUGAGACCUCCUCACUGCUGUUCCAGCCCUUCAUCUUGUCCUCCUUUCAUCCCGGGCCUCCCUCUCCUGCUUGAGAACACUGGCUGUUUACAGAAGUCUCCACACACCAGGGCGGCGCUCAAGACCUCCUCUCCACCCUGCCCUCCACCUUCUUGCUUACUUCCAUCAGUCACAACUGUCAGGGGGCACAUUCCAGCUUCCGAGAUAAGAUGCACACUCACUCUCUACCCUGUCUUUAGUCUGUGUGGCUGGUUCCUUGCUUACAUGGACCUCCAAACAUGACAAGAUGGGAGCAUGUCAUCUGGAAAAGUCUAGAGGAAGUGUUAGCCAUGCCCCGUGGCCUGAGAGGAGACCAACGCUCAGGUGUGACCGAGAGUUAAAAUGGGUCACAAGAAGAGGGAGGUGGACGCUCCGGGGACAGAGAACCAGAAGACGCAGCUGCAGGUUGACUCUUCACCAAUUGAACAACUGAAUCCAUCUGGGCCGGUCUCUGAAUUCACCGGGAACAUCCUGAAGUAGGUGACAGUUGCACGCUCUGGGCUUAUCCAGUCUGUCAUCUGUUCCACACCCAGUAAAGAGAGGAGGUUCGCCAUUGUUCUAGAGCACAAUCGCUGUCUCACAGCUACUCUCCUUCCAAGUGAACUCAGUUACCUCAUCAGCAACGGUGAGGUGAAAAGAGCAGUAGCUUCGGAGCCAGUGAGAUAACGCACCAGCAAGUGCCAGCGAGCUUAGCCCGUGCCCGGCUGACGGAACACUGUCUUCAGCUUGACUCCAGGUUCUGCUGGGCUCAGAAACUUGGAUUUCCCACACCACCAGGAUGUUAGAUUUGUGUUAGUGCAUUGGCCUCCACACAUUUAACCAUACAGAACCCAGAAUGUGAGUUUUCCCAAGGAACGUAGUCUAGUAAGACAAUGACCCUAGGCUCUCUGUUUCUAGCUGUUGCCCUACUCACGUGGUCUGGGUCUGUUCGUUGUAGUGUGAAAGUAGAGACCACCUCAUGAAAGAAUGGAGAGGAAAUGGGGUUCUUCCUUUGAUCAUGUUUGGGUUUGAAUCUCAGCUACACUUAAUGGCAAACACAUUAAAACAGAGGUCCUUUUCUCUCAUACUCACUUUGAGUUACUACAUAUAUCAUAAAAUUACCCUUCCGAGUGUAAGGGUCAAAUGUUUUUAGUGUAUUCAGAGUUUUGCAGCCAUCACCACCAUCUAUUGUUUGGAUAUUUUCAUCACACUGCCCCCCCUCCCCCCGCCCCUGGCAAAAUCCCAUGGGGACUGGCAGUCGCUCUCCAAUUUGCUUUCUGACUCUAGAUACGCCUGUUCUGGACAUGUACGUAGUCACAGAAUAUGUGGUCUUUUGUGCUGGACUUCUUCCCCUUAGGAUGUUUUCAUAGUCCGCCCAUGUGGUUGAGGUAUCAGUACGUUAUUUUCUUUAGUGGUUGAGUAAUAUUCCAUUAUAUGGUAAUACCACAUUGUGUUUCAUUACCUCUUAAUGAACAUUUUGGCUCUUUCUAUGUUUUGGCUAAUCUAUAGUAUAUAAAGCACUUGAGCAUAUUCAUGUAUAUGGUGUUUUGUGGACCUGUGUUUUCAGUUCUCCUGGGUAUAGACCUAGGAAUAGAAUUGCUGGGUUAUAUGGUAAUUCCAUCUAACUUUUUGGGGGACUGCCAACUAUUUUCUGAAGCAGCUACAUGAUUUUAGAUCCGCACAAUGUAAGAGGAGUUCAAUUCCUCUUUCUUCUCACCAACAACUGUCUUGGAUUAUAGCCAUCAUAGUGAGUGUGAAGCGGUCUUUGUGUGUUUCUGAUUUGCAUUUCCUUGAUUGCUAAUAAUUUUAACCUAUUUUCAUGUGCUUAUUGCUCACUUGUGUUCUUGUGUAUCCUCAAAGUCUAUUUAAAUAAAUACUUUGCCUAUUUUUAAAUUGAGUUAUCUUUUUAUUAGUUUGUAAGAGUUUCUUUUAUGUUGUGGCUAUCAAUCUCUUACCUCAUAAAUGAUUUCCAAAGAUUUUCUCUACCUUGUGGUUUUUUAGUUUCUUGAU